ACACACUGAAAAUGGCCGCAGGUGUAUCAGUGGUCUGUGGUCAGAUAACUGUGCCUACAGUAGUGUGGUACAUUAAGCUUAUUGCGUGUGUCUCGUGGUGGCGGCGUGAUAAAACCCAUGUACCAACAUCC
This is a small nucleolar RNA of Acanthochromis polyacanthus (spiny chromis), 131 nucleotides long. The record is from Ensembl. NCBI's taxonomy places the organism in Eukaryota, Metazoa, Chordata, Actinopteri, Pomacentridae.